RNAcentral lists this ribosomal RNA (301 nucleotides) under uncultured bacterium. Its description in RNAcentral is "partial 16S ribosomal RNA". It matches the Rfam family "Bacterial small subunit ribosomal RNA", at positions 509 to 807 of the family's 1533-position model. The record is from RNAcentral.
CAGCCGCCGCGGUAAUACGUAGGUGGCAAGCGUUGUCCGGAAUUAUUGGGCGUAAAGGGCUCGCAGGCGGUUUCUUAAGUCUGAUGUGAAAGCCCCCGGCUCAACCGGGGAGGGUCAUUGGAAACUGGGAAACUUGAAUGCAGAAGAGGAGAGUGGAAUUCCACGUGUAGCGGUGAAAUGCGUAGAGAUGUGGAGGAACGCCAGUGGCGAAGGCGACUCUCUGGUCUGUAACUGACGCUGAGGAGCGAAAGCGUGGGGAGCGAACAGGAUUAGAUACCCCAGUAGUCCCUGUCUCUUAUAC